GGGGCCUUAGCUCAGUUGGUAGAGCACCGGCUUUGCAAGCCGGGUGUCAGGGGUUCGAAUCCCCUAGGCUCCACCU
Molecule: transfer RNA, 76 nt
Filed under: Actinomadura logoneensis
Lineage: Bacteria; Bacillati; Actinomycetota; Actinomycetes; Streptosporangiales; Thermomonosporaceae
Also listed under: 1 other name
Description: Actinomadura sp. NEAU-G17 tRNA-Ala
Rfam family: tRNA
About the family: Transfer RNA (tRNA) molecules are approximately 80 nucleotides in length. Their secondary structure includes four short double-helical elements and three loops (D, anti-codon, and T loops).
Source: RNAcentral